AGCGGGUGAGGGCGCUGGUGUGCUCGGCGGUUUCAUAAGCCGUUGUGGGCGGGUUCGAUUCCCGCACCCGCUACCG
This 76-nucleotide transfer RNA is filed under the name Streptosporangium sp. 'caverna'. Its description in RNAcentral is "tRNA-Met". It matches the Rfam family "tRNA". Rfam says of the family: Transfer RNA (tRNA) molecules are approximately 80 nucleotides in length. Lineage: Bacteria; Bacillati; Actinomycetota; Actinomycetes; Streptosporangiales; Streptosporangiaceae. The record is from RNAcentral.